Molecule: long non-coding RNA, 6161 nt
Filed under: Salmo salar (Atlantic salmon)
Lineage: Eukaryota; Metazoa; Chordata; Actinopteri; Salmoniformes; Salmonidae
Description: lncRNA (ENSSSAG00000085164.1)
Source: RNAcentral
GACAUAAUUUUAACAGUUUUAGAACCCUUAGAGUGUUUUCUAUCUAUAUGCAUAUCCUAGCUUCUGGGCCUGAGUAAUAGGCAGUUUACUUUGGGCACGCUUUUCAUCCGGACGUGAAAAUACUGCCCCCUAUCCCAAAGAAGCUAGCUAGCUGUCUAAACAAAAGACUCCACUAUGCAAGUAACCAUUUCACUGUACCGUUUACACCUUCUGUAUCUUGUGCUUGGAUUUUAUUUGAUAUAGUGUGUGUUUACCAGAGACGGUAAUGUGAAGAACAGCAUGACCUGCACCAAAGUCAAAUGAGAAUAUAACAUUAGGCCAACGAGACAGUGUCAAAGUUCUAAUAUUCUCCAGUAGAAUGCCCAUCUUUUAUUUUGUCACACUCACAACCAUAAGUUAUUCUCUGUAAUUAGCUUGCCAUUAACUUGAUCUUGUUGUGAGUAUAUUUUCCUGUAAUAAUUAAUACAAAUUAGCUAUAUGAUAUGUGGGGUUAGAAACUUAUCAACUUUCAAAGCAGAAUUACUUUCCCAUUGUUCCUCAACUGUAGUGUAUGGUAUACAAUUUUCUAGCUCUGAGUCUCUACUUUAAUCCUAAGUAAAAAACACAAUUUAACAUUUUACUUCAUAAGACCGAAUCGAGCCUGUCGGUCAAAUUUUAGCAAACCAGUAGAAUCAAAAUUCCCCAAAUGUUCCGGUGCGUUGCCACCACACGUCGUUCUCCAAAUUCCCAAAAUGUUGAGGAGUUCUGGUUGCAUGUGGUCGCAUGUUGUUCUCGGCAAACGACGAAAAUACCCCUUGGUCAUGGUGUUCCCCGGUUGUCCGUCUGUCCAUGCAUCUUGAGCUGCACUCAUUGGCAGCAAGGAGGUGCUGAAAGUGGGUUGGCUUGAUAUGGUACCAGAAAGAGUUGUAGACUAGAUAAGUUACUCUUCAGUGCAGCCAUCAAUGACACAUACAACACGAAAAUCAGCACUAUGACUACGAGUACUAUUCAUGUCGCUCAAUAAGGAUUUAAGUGUCAGAGCCACAGAUACAUACCAGAUCACACAGUGCUAACUAGCUAGCUACCUUUUCAGUUGUAGUACCCCAUCAAACUUGAACUAAUUCCCUCACUGAUGCAGAAUACAGGUGAAAAGACCGAAAUGUUUGAUGUGACAACAGCGUCUUAUUUUUCCCAAUGCAGUUAAGCCAAAACCACGCCCCGUUACUCAGAGGGACGUUCUACUACGCUCCCAUUGGCUAGCUAGCGUUGUCUCACUCACAGGUGAUCAGCUCAGAGACAGUGGCCUUCCAAGGUAAGGAUGGAAAGUGUAACUUAACAAUUAGCUGCCUUCCGUAUUGCAGGCCUAUUAUUAUCAUGUUUGGUAACAUUUGCCCAUGUAUUUUUUCAGAGUUGUAAAAAUGUCUCUGAAUUCCCUCAAUUGAAGGUUAGCUAAGUUUACCUAGGCUACUUAAAGUUACUAGCUCGGUAUUUGAAGUUGUUAUAUUAUCAUUAGUGGUCUAUUAUCAGGUAAAAGCAUAUGCUUAUUAUUCAUAAUUUCUCAAAUAUUUAUUAGCUAAUCAUUCAGUUGAAUACGGUAUGCUACAGCCAUUGAAUUUGUCUUUGAGCGUUAAGCGACGUUAAUUGUCACGCUGAUAUAAAGGGAUCGGGAGACAGGCGCAGGAAUGCGUGAAAUGGGUUUUUAUUUUCCAAAUUACAGCGUGCCGUGUAAAGGAACGGGGACGAAGAUCAAACCAACACAUACACAAAACCCAAACAAAGGAGUGAGGAGUACUUCGACUAAAUACACAAUCACACGGGAGGAGACCCGUAAUUAUCUGCACAAUUUUUUUUUUACCUUUAUGUAACUUGGCAAGUCAGUUAAGAACAAAUUCUUAUUUUCAAUGACGGCCUAGGAACAGUGGGUUAACUACCUUGUUCAGGGGCAGAACGACAGAUUUGUACCUUGUCAGCUCGGGGAUUUGAAUUUGCAACCUUUCGGUUACUAGUCCAAUGCUCUAACCACUAGGCUACACCACCCCCCCAAAAAAACAAAUAGACAUGGCACAAAAGCCAAAACAACAUAGCACAGGUACUCACAGGACCAACGGACAUUGGAACAAUAAUCGACUGGACAAUGGUGAACAAAGAGCACACUUAUACAAUUACUAAUCAAAUUCAAAUAGAGAGCAGGUGUGCGUAAUGACAGUUCCGGAGGGAUCCGUGACAUUAAUGGCUAGCGCUGUCCAUGACAUUAUGUUAUAUAUUUUGUAUUUUUCAAUCUUGAAAUCCAAGGGCAAAUGUUAUUAAUCAGUGACUGAAAUUUUGCGCUACGUAAUAUUCAAUUCCAGACUUGGAGACUUGGAGAGUGCUCAAAGUGUUGUAGAAUGCCUCUUUGAAUAAUGGGGCGUGGUUUUGGCUUAACUGCGUUGGGAAAAAGAAAGACGAAUGACAAUGAUUGAAUGUAAGGGUCACCCCAUUAUCAAACAUAUAACGGUGGAAGACAGCUAUGUUGUUCCAUUCAAUACGAUAUUUUAUUACGACAGAUUUCUCUAUUUUGGUUUGUGUUUUACCGUGAAUUUGUGAAUUUAAUUGUUUAAAACAUUUAAAAACAUGCACAAUCAACUGUAUAGAUGUGACAAACACCCCUUGGUUUGAGAAUGAGAUAGUACUGUCCACAAGCUAGACAAGAAGCGCACCUGCCACCCAACGUUCCUUUUCAAAUCCAGCAAGUUCAACUUUCUAGUUCAACUGUCAUUAAUAGCAGCCAUGACAUUGUGUGUGUGCCUGUGCAAAUAAUAUGCAUUUAUCAGCAAACGUCUACAUCAAGUCAUGGACAGAUUGGAUGAUAUUUCAAUUGCAACCCUUCAAAGUAAACUGUUGAUUUGAAUUAUUAUCUAAGUUAGCUAGCUUGCUAACGCAUUAGUGAGCUAGCUAGCUAACGUUAACGUUAUUUAUAAACUGGGUAGUUUGAGCCCUGAUUGCUGAUUGGCUGACAGCGGUGGUAAAUCAGACCAUAUACCACAGGUAUGACAAAACAUUUAUUUUUACUGCUCUAAUUAUGUUGGUAAUCAGUUUACAAUAACAAUAAAGCGCCCCAGGGAUUUGUGGUAUAUGGUCAAUAUAUCACGGCUAAAGGCUGUAUACAUGCACUCUGUGUUGUGUCAUGCAGAAGAACAGCUCUCUUAGCCGUGGUAUAUUGGCCAUAUACCACACCCCCUCUGGCCUUGCUUAAGUAGCUAGCUACCAUCCCGAGCUUGUCAGUGUCAGCUAGCUAAGCCAGCUGACGCUAGCUAGUUAAGUUAACUUAGUUUGUUCACAAGUUAGAUAACGUAGAUGCAACGACAACGUGUAAUUCAAACUGGCUGCAGAGCUGACUAGCUAGCUACCUAGUCAUGUUCAAUUCUAGCUAACAUUGGCAAGAUGGUGUCGCAAGUCAUUUCAAGCAAAGACCAUUUAACCAAGAAAUGAUAGCUAACAUUAGCUAGCUAGCUAGUUCUUCAGCCAGUUUAAUUUCAUGUGGCAUCUGUAUGUGCCUUUUAAAAUUCCCCAUGAUGUUGAUAUCAGCUGUGAAAUAUAACCUUACUGUAACUUUACUCUGAAAAUGUGCGUUUUAUUUUAUGUCGAAUGCUCUAGUUGCAAAGUUGCAAAAACCAUUAAACUUACUGACCAGCUAACAUUAGCUACCUAAUUAGCUAGCUAGUGAAAUAACCUAUUAUCUACCACGAUAUUGCUAAUGUCAGCAUGGUAAUGUUAUCAUUACUAGCUAACCGUUAGCAAAAUGGCAUCGCAGGGGUUAUCAAAAUGGAAAUGGGUACGGUUGGGUACUUCCAAAUUAACAAAUUGUAACUAAGGACAUUGGUGUCUAUUUAAUUGGGCGAAUUUAUUUCAGCUGCCAAUAUCACUGAAGACCUGUUGCCAAGCCUCUCCUGUGAUGAUAUCAGAGAUCUCUUACCAGGUCCAGAAUGUUUCUUAACCUGUUGGGGCUAGGGGGCAGUAUUUGCACGUCCGGAUAAAAAAACGUACCCGAUUUAAACUGGUUACUACUCUUGCCCAGAAACGAGAAUAUGCAUAUAAUUAGUAGAUUUGGAUAGAAAACACUCUAAAGUUUGUAAAACUGUUUGAAUGGUGCCUGUGAGUAUAACAGAACUCAUAUCGCAGGCCAAAACCUGAGAAGAUUCCAUACAGGAAGUGCCCUGUCUGACAACUUGUUGUCCUUCUGUUGCAUCUCUAUCAAAAAUACAGCAUCUGUGCUGUAAUGUGACACUUUCUAAGGCUCCCAUUGGCUCUCUAAAGCUGCCAGAAAGUGGAAUGGGGUGUCUGCUGUCUCUGGGCGAAGAACAGCAGGAGAGUUUGUGAGUGGUCAGCCUGGGGACAGUGAGACUGAGAUGCGCGUUCCCGAGAAUUCAAUUAUUUAUUUUUUUCAGCCUUUUAAUGAAUACAACGUUGCCCGGUUGGAAUAUUAUCGCAAUUUUACGAGAAAAAUAGCAUAAAAAUUGAUUUUAAACAGCGUUUGACAUGCUUCUAAGUACGGUAAUGGAAUAUUUUGUCACGAAAUACGCUCGCGUGUCACCCUUCGGAUAGUGACCUGAACGCACGAACAAAACGGAGCUAUUUGAAUAUAACUAUGGAUUAUUUGGAACCAAAACAACAUUUGUUGUUGAAGUAGAAGUCCUGGGAGUGCAUUCUGACGAAGAACAGCAAAGGUAAUCCAAUUUUUCUAAUAGUAAUUCUGAGUUUAGUGAGUCCCAAACUUGGUGGGUGUCAAAACAGCUAGCCGUGAUGGCCGAGCUAUGUACUCAGAAUAUUGCAAAAUGUGCUUUCGCCGAAAGCUAUUUUAAAAUCUGACACCGUGAUAGCAUAAAGGAGUUCUGUAUAUAUAAUUCUUAAAAUAAUUGUUAUGUAUUUUGUCAAUGUUUAUCAUGAGUAUUUUAGUAAAAUCAACGGAAGUUUUUGGUGGGUAUGCUAGUUCUGAACAAAACAUGCAUGUGUUGUAUAACAUAAUGUCCUAGGAGUGUCAUCUGAUGAAGAUCAUCAAAGGUUAGUGCUGCAUUUAGCUGUGGUUUUGGUUUUUGUGACAUAUAUGCUUGCUUUGAAAAUGGCUGUGUGAUUAUUUUUGGCAGUGUACUCUCCUGACAUAAUCUAAUGUUUUGCUUUCACUGUAAAGCCUUUUUGAAAUCGGACAAUGUGGUUAGAUUAACGAGAGUCUUGUCUUUAAAAUGGUGUAAAAUAGUCAUAUGUUUGAGAAAUGUAAGUUAUAGCAUUUUUGAGGUAUUUGUAUUUCGCGCCACGCGAUUCCACUGGCUGUUGACUAAUUAAGGAGAAAAGCCAUAUUGCAAGUGGCUCAUCAGGAUCAUGAGGGACCAGAUUUAGAUCAGCAAAAUGUGAGACCUUGUGCAUAAGGUACCUCCAGUACCAGACCCAGUGACCCCAGCACUCUCCGGUCCAGUAAUCCCAGCACCUCCAGAACCAAAGGCAGUGACCCCAGUACUCCCUGGUUCAGUAACCCAAAUAUCUCCACCAGAGCCAAUGGAUGUGCCUCCACGCCCAGUACUUGUUACAUUUUGAAUGCCUAGCAGGACAGGAAAAUGGUUUUAAUUCAGCAUAGGGUAAUAUUCUACCAGUCGUUUGGCCAUUGAAUUUACAUCACGCUUCGAUGGAUACUUGAAGUCCUCUAUUGUAGCUCGUAUUAUGGAUAUUAUGUUGGUUAUAUUGAUUUCCAAACUAGACCCUAGACCCCUCAAACUCAACUCUGGACCUCGCAGCCAGUUACACUGCAUUUUUAAUUGUUUCCUCUAACCAGGGACUGAUUUAAACCUGGAACUCCAGGUGUGUGCAAUUUAUCAGGUACGGUAUCAUUGUUCUUAUCUGAUAAAGGUUACUAUCACAAUGGCAGCACUUAAACAUUUUCUCACAUCAUGUGAAUACUCAGAUGGGUGAGGGAUGCAUGUUGAAAUGUUUUGCUAACUGUUCUUAUCUGGUACCAGUUACUAUCCCAAACAUACAGGCAGCUCUUAACCUUUUUUGCAAACCAUGCAAACCCGGGAUGCAUGAGUGUUAUAAUGUUUUAAAUGAUCUGAUUCAAGUGACUAUCACAAACAUACAGGCGUUGCUCCUACCUCCUUUUUUGUGUAUGUAUAUACAGCAUUAGAAGGCUGCUGUCAAGCUUAGCCAUGAACACGCUG